UACAGAGGUCCCCGAGCGUUGUUCGGAUUCACUGGGCGUAAAGGGUGCGCAGGUGGCAUGGCAAGUUUGAUGUGAAAGCUCAGGGCUCAACCCUGAAAUGGCAUUGAAUACUGCCGUGCUGGAGGUUUGGAGGGGCGUGGAAUUCUCGGUGUAGCAGUGAAAUGCGUAGAUAUCGAGAGGAACACCAGUGGCGAAGGCGAGUCCCUGGACAACACCUGACACUGAGGCACGAAAGCUAGGGGAGCAAACAGGAUUAGAAACCCUUGUAGU
RNAcentral lists this ribosomal RNA (270 nucleotides) under uncultured bacterium. Its description in RNAcentral is "partial 16S ribosomal RNA". It matches the Rfam family "Bacterial small subunit ribosomal RNA", at positions 524 to 794 of the family's 1533-position model. The record is from RNAcentral.